UCUCUAAGGCUUUUCAAAUAAACUCAUGCUCUUAUUUUAAUUUUCCUAUUCUCCCAUUUUUGGUGAAAUAAAUAAGAUUAAGAAUGAAUACCUGGGGGGCCGGCCCUGUGGCAGAGUGGUUAAGUUCACGUGCUCCGCUGCAGGCGGCCCACUGUUUUGUCAGUUCGAAUCCUGGGCGCAGACAUGGCACCACUCAUUGAGCCACGCUGAGGCGGCGUCCCACAUAUCACAACUAGAAGGACCCACAACUAAGAAUAUACAACUAUGUACCGGGGGGCUUUGGGGAGAAAAAGGAAAAAAAAAAAAUAAAAUCUUAAAAAAAAAAGAAUGAGUACCUGGGAAAGUAACAAAUUGCCACAUAAUUACAUGCCAUUUGUCUGCUUUUUAAUAUUGUUGUUCAAUUUUCUAUUAAACAUAAAGAUACUCAUAUUUGACUUCAGUCAACCACUUACAGAAGGAAGUUAAAGAAGACUUAGUCAGAACAGAAUGACAUUUCCUUGAACUUGCCCUACAGUUGAUCAGGACUAGCAGAUAGGUAAAUGAGUUUCUAAGCAUCUUAAGGACAUCGUCUACCAGCAGCCUCAUACACACCCCAAAGUACAGAAAGGUCCAUCCCCAAAAGAAUUAUGGAUGUGGCUUUGGUUUUGAAGAGAAUUGUAUUGGUAAAAAGACUACCAAUUUGGACUAAAGGGGCAGAGACACCUAAAAAAGAAAACAGGCCUCUGGACAGAAAGCAGGUCAGGGGAACCACUGAAUUAUAAACAUGGGCUAUCGACAAGAAAAGCACCUUUGAGAGCAGAAUCAAGAGUCUAGGGAAGGAACCAAGAAUUAAGGAGAAUAUUGGAUUAGGAAACCAUUCCAAGGGAACACGUAUGGGCCAUGAUCAAGGAACGUGCCCUACCUUCAGAGUUAGGGCAACUGGCAAUAAGUGAUGGGCUGGAUUUCAGAAUUACUCAGAAUCAGUAAAUUCUGUGUGUUCUCAUUCUUUCUAUUCAGGUUAUUCUGUGGAAGUCUAUUGAGGUUAUUCUAUAUUCUUUGUAUUGAUGUUAUUCUGUUCCUAUCUGACAGAUGUAUGUCAGAUGUAUACGUAUGUGUGCAUAUAUCACUUUUCUUUAUAGCUUACAGAUCUUUGGGCAAGAUACAGAUAAUUAGAUAUUGGACUUUGACCCCAAUGCUACUUAUGGAUGAGACUUUCAGGGGACUUGAAGAAAGGUAAUUGUAUUUUGCAUGUGGGAGGAUUGAAAAUAAUUAUUACCAGAGGAUGGAUUGUGGUAGGUUUAAUAUAGCCAUAAAUUAUUUGUAGUUUCUCCCAUCAAGAAGUGGAGUCUCAGGGUUGGCCCCAUGGACAAAUGGUUGAUUUCAGCACACUCCACUUUGAUAGCCUAGAUUUGGUUCCUGGACAUAAACUUAUGCCACUCAUUGGCAGCCAUGCUGUGGCAGCAACCCACAUACAAAAUAGAUUUUAGCUUAGGGUACAGAUUUUAGCUCAGGGCAAAUCUUCCUCAAGCAAAAAGAGGGAGAUUGGCAACAGAUGUCAGCUCAGGGUGAAUCUUCCUCAGCAAAAAAAAAAAAAAAAAAAAGAAGAAGUUUACCACAUCUUGAAUCAAAACUGGCUUUGUGACUUGCUUUGCCUAAUAAAAUGGAGCUGAAGUGAUGUGAUUUCCAAAGUCUAGGCCUCAAGAGGUCUUGCAGCUUCCUUCUUUGCCCUCUGGGAAUGCUGCUCUGACACCGCGAUAUCACUGUCAGUCUAGCCUACAGGAGAAUGGAAGAAUAUGUCAAAGAAAACAAAGGCACACCAGCUGGUGGCCCCCACAAGCUGCCAGACAUGAGUGGGGGCAUUUGGGACCUCCCUGCUGAGCUGGCCUUCCAGCCGAGCACGGGCACAUCAGUGAGAACAAACAGAGGCAGCAGAGGAAACUCCCAGGCAAUCCUCAGAAACAGGAAAGUAACAAACUGUUGUUGUCGUUAUCCACUAAGGUCUGAGAGCGGUACGUCACAAAGUGGUAUUUUACUGGAAACAAGACAGGAUGUUCUAUGAAGGAGAAGAAAAGAUACUUUAUGUAAGGAAAGACUACAUUCAGUUUAGGAGAAAUAAGAAAAUGUUCAUGAAGAAUGUGGUAUUUGAGAUUUGUACUAAAAGGUAUGUCUGAAAGAUGAAAUGAGAACGUUGUAGAAGAACUUUAAAGCCAGGAUGUGGUGUUUACAUUCAAGUCUGAAGGCAAUGGGAAGCUGGCAUCAUUUGUUUAAAGGAGGAGCAUAAACCCAAUGCAUCGCUGGUAACCGGAAGAGGAACUAGAACACUGAAGGCAUCUCAUGAAUGAUUUUUGAAUGAAUGACUGGAAUUUUUUUCUAACUCACCAGAUGUGACAAUCCAGUGAAAUCCAACUUAGUGUUAGUUUAUUCUACUGGGAGAAGGUGUCAGAAUGUGUCAGGAAAAAGCACUUUAAUGUUCAUUAAAGGGCCUGAGAACUGAAGUGAAUAAAAUGUCUUAAUGUGCAAUACAGCGUUGAAUAUGUUGGCGUGCUGCGACCUACAAGAAUACAUUUGGAACAGAUAAGGUUUAGGAAAAAGGCUGCAGUAAGAGUAAACAAAAUGACCUUUCUGGCAGAGUAUGCCACUAUUUUAUGCAUGGUCACAUAGUACUUUAUGACACAUAGAAUACCUGUGGAAAACAUUUGCCCUUCUUGGUCAUUUGGAUUAAUUUGUACCAUAAAUGCAUCUUUUACCAUCCUAUUCCCAGAUUCAUGAGUUUGAUAUAUGGAGCUGUUUAGGUCUUUAUUUUUCUUCUUAACUUUUCCUGAGGGAAUCUUCCAGUGUGACCAUGCUGAUUGAUGACCACCCUCCCCGUGACUAACCUCAUAGAGUGUAUGUGUGGACAGCUUUACGGCUCAUGGAACUCUGGGAACAUUUCCAACCACUUUCAUUUUGUUUCCCC
RNAcentral lists this long non-coding RNA (2935 nucleotides) under Equus caballus (horse). RNAcentral describes it as "lncRNA (ENSECAG00000052693.1)". Lineage: Eukaryota; Metazoa; Chordata; Mammalia; Perissodactyla; Equidae. The record is from RNAcentral.